UUAAAAUAUAUUUACUUAUGCGGGGGUUACUAACGGACACUAUAUACAAGUUAAGUGUCUAAUUCAAACUGACGCUAAAUACUUUAAAUAUAACAAAACCUAAAAUUUACAAUCAGAUCUCUUUAUCCCCAUUCGAAAUUUUACAGCCAAAAACCUAAUAGAACAUCUCUCUCUUCGAUUUUUACAGCCCCAAAUCUAAAGGUCUCCAUUAACGUUGACAGGCCACCCCGAGCCGCCCUUUAGCAAUCUCUCUUUCUCUUCCCUUCUCCGUCGGACAUCUCUCUCUGUCAAUUAAUUUUUUGAUUUUGAUUUUGCUUUUAGUUUUUAUGGUUUGUUGAUUAAUUGAUUUUUAAUUAAGUUUAUUUGAUAUUGUAUAGCUUGACUCGUCAAUUGCUCUACCCCGUUGGCUUGAAGUUCUUCUCUGUGAAAAGUUCUACAACACUUGUAUAAUUCACGAAGAUGCCAAAAAGAACGAGAAGAACAUCUUCUGCUUGGAUUAUUGCAUCAGUAUCUGUCCUCACUGCUUGCCCCGUAAUCGUUCUCAUAGACUUUUGCAGGUUUUUAUUUUUAUAUAAUUUGUUCAUAAUUCUUCUUAUGUUCUUCACAAUUUAAUUUCAAAAGGUUUAAUUUUUUGAUUUUUAUUAUGCCUUUUUUUUCCUUCUUUUAAUACAAAACAUAAUUUUUACAACCGCAAAUCUAAAAGUCUCCAUUAACGCCGGCUGCCAAAAAUGUAAGUCUCUCUCUCCCCUCUUUUUCUCUCUGCGCGCUAAUCUCUUUCCGUCUCUUUCUUUAUUUUCAGUAGAGAGGGGAAGUUGGUGGAGUGACAUUAUUGGUUGAUCCAAUCUUGGUGGGUAAUUUGGAUUUUGGAAUCCCGUGGCUUUAUGAUGCUGCCAAGAAGUUUUUGAGGAGUUUUCAGCUAAGUGAUCUUCCUGAAAUUAAUUGCCUGUUAAUUACACAAAGCCUUGAUGAUCACUGUCAUUUGAAGAUUUUGAAUCUCCUCUCUGCUAAGUACCCCAAUCUUAGAGUGUUGGCAACUCCAACCUAUAUAUCAUUCUAAUUGUUAAUUAUAUAAGCACUGUGGUUUGCUGAGUCUUGUCUUGGUAAAUGCAUACAUAUAAGCACUAAUUUCAGAAACAUGAAAUGGAAUAUCUCCAUUCUGUUAUGAACUUUGUAUGUUACUUAUACGUUGUGUUCUAGAGUUAAUAUAAAACAUCGAUGUUUUGUUCUUAAAUCUCUCAGUAAGUGGGGGGGUUUCAUCUUACAAUGGCAAGAGCAAGGUCCUUGUAUUGUUUCAAUGUUGUUUACUUCUUUUCUUUUUCUUAGCCGUUUUGUUGUUUUACUAAUGAACAUCUUUAAUCUUGACAAAUAGUUGAGAUAGUGGAUAGUGUAACUUGAUAAAGUAAUAUUUUGGAAGGUUUUAUUUCUGUGAUUA
This is an RNA transcript of Cannabis sativa, 1432 nucleotides long. RefSeq lists it as uncharacterized. The record is from RefSeq and is a predicted model, not a curated record. Lineage: Eukaryota; Viridiplantae; Streptophyta; Magnoliopsida; Rosales; Cannabaceae. The transcript has 2 exons.